Molecule: ribosomal RNA, 371 nt
Filed under: uncultured bacterium
Lineage: Bacteria
Description: bacterial SSU rRNA
Rfam family: Bacterial small subunit ribosomal RNA
Source: RNAcentral
AACGAACGCUGGCGGCAUGCCUAACACAUGCAAGUCGAACGUGAUCCGUUCCUUCGGGGGCGGUGAAAGUGGCAGACGGGUGAGUAACGCGUGGGAACCUGCCCAAUGGUAGGGAAUAACCGCGGGAAACUGCGGCUAAUACCCUAUGAGCCCUUUGGGGCAAAGAUUUAUCGCCAUUGGAGGGGCCCGCGUCGGAUUAGGUAGUUGGUAGGGUAACGGCCUACCAAGCCAUCGAUCCGUAGCUGGUCUGAGAGGAUGAUCAGCCACACUGGGACUGAGAUACGGCCCAGACUCCUACGGGAGGCAGCAGUGGGGAAUAUUGGACAAUGGGGGAACCCUGAUCCAGCAAUGCCGCGUGAGUGAAGAAGGCC